UGGCUCAGGAUGAACGCUAGCUACAGGCUUAACACAUGCAAGUCGAGGGGCAGCGGGGAGGAAGCUUGCUUUCUCUGCCGGCGACCGGCGCACGGGUGAGUAACGCGUAUCGAACCUGCCUCAUACUCGGGAAUAGCCUUGCGAAAGUAAGAUUAAUGCCCGAUGUUUUCAGCGGUCCGCAUGAACUGCUGAACAAAGAUUUAUCGGUAUGAGAUGGCGAUGCGUCCCAUUAGCUUGUUGGUGGGGUAACAGCCCACCAAGGCAUCGAUGGGUAGGGGUUCUGAGAGGAAGGUCCCCCACAUUGGAACUGAGACACGGUCCAAACUCCUACGGGAGGCAGCAGUGAGGAAUAUUGGUCAAUGGACGCAAGUCUGAACCAGCCAAGUAGCGUGCAGGAUGACGGCCCUCCGGGUUGUAAACUGCUUUUAGUUGGGAAUAAAGUGCAGCUCGUGAGCUGUUUUGUAUGUACCAUCAGAAAAAGGACCGGCUAAUUCCGUGCCAGCAGCCGCGGUAAUACGGAAGGUCCGGGCGUUAUCCGGAUUUAUUGGGUUUAAAGGGAGCGCAGGCGGACUCUUAAGUCAGUUGUGAAAUACGGCGGCUCAACCGUCGGACUGCAGUUGAUACUGGGAGUCUUGAGUGCACACAGGGAUGCUGGAAUUCAUGGUGUAGCGGUGAAAUGCUCAGAUAUCAUGAAGAACUCCGAUCGCGAAGGCAGGUAUCCGGGGUGCAACUGACGCUGAGGCUCGAAAGUGCGGGUAUCAAACAGGAUUAGAUACCCUGGUAGUCCGCACAGUAAACGAUGAAUACUCGCGGUUGGCGAUACAAUGUCAGCCGCCAAGCGAAAGCGUUAAGUAUUCCACCUGGGGAGUACGCCGGCAACGGUGAAACUCAAAGGAAUUGACGGGGGCCCGCACAAGCGGAGGAACAUGUGGUUUAAUUCGAUGAUACGCGAGGAACCUUACCCGGGCUUGAACU
RNAcentral lists this ribosomal RNA (975 nucleotides) under gut metagenome. RNAcentral describes it as "bacterial SSU rRNA". It matches the Rfam family "Bacterial small subunit ribosomal RNA", at positions 20 to 987 of the family's 1533-position model. The record is from RNAcentral.